RNAcentral lists this ribosomal RNA (759 nucleotides) under Neisseria cinerea. Its description in RNAcentral is "bacterial SSU rRNA". It matches the Rfam family "Bacterial small subunit ribosomal RNA", at positions 28 to 776 of the family's 1533-position model. Lineage: Bacteria; Pseudomonadati; Pseudomonadota; Betaproteobacteria; Neisseriales; Neisseriaceae. The record is from RNAcentral.
AUUGAACGCUGGCGGCAUGCUUUACACAUGCAAGUCGGACGGCAGCACAGAGAAGCUUGCUUCUUGGGUGGCGAGUGGCGAACGGGUGAGUAACAUAUCGGAACGUACCGAGUAGUGGGGGAUAACUGAUCGAAAGAUCAGCUAAUACCGCAUACGUCUUGAGAGGGAAAGCAGGGGACCUUCGGGCCUUGCGCUAUUCGAGCGGCCGAUAUCUGAUUAGCUAGUUGGUGGGGUAAAGGCCUACCAAGGCGACGAUCAGUAGCGGGUCUGAGAGGAUGGUCCGCCACACUGGGACUGAGACACGGCCCAGACUCCUACGGGAGGCAGCAGUGGGGAAUUUUGGACAAUGGGCGCAAGCCUGAUCCAGCCAUGCCGCGUGUCUGAAGAAGGCCUUCGGGUUGUAAAGGACUUUUGUCAGGGAAGAAAAGGCUGUUGCUAAUAUCAGCGGCUGAUGACGGUACCUGAAGAAUAAGCACCGGCUAACUACGUGCCAGCAGCCGCGGUAAUACGUAGGGUGCGAGCGUUAAUCGGAAUUACUGGGCGUAAAGCGAGCGCAGACGGUUACUUAAGCCGGAUGUGAAAUCCCCGGGCUCAACCUGGGAACUGCGUUCUGAACUGGGUGACUAGAGUGUGUCAGAGGGAGGUAGAAUUCCACGUGUAGCAGUGAAAUGCGUAGAGAUGUGGAGGAAUACCGAUGGCGAAGGCAGCCUCCUGGGAUAACACUGACGUUCAUGCUCGAAAGCGUGGGUAGCAAACAGG